This 504-nucleotide ribosomal RNA is filed under the name uncultured bacterium. Its description in RNAcentral is "bacterial SSU rRNA". It matches the Rfam family "Bacterial small subunit ribosomal RNA", at positions 28 to 531 of the family's 1533-position model. The record is from RNAcentral.
GACGAACGCUGGCGGCGUGCUUAACACAUGCAAGUCGAACGGAGAUAUAUAAAUAGUUUACUAUGAAUAUAUUUUAGUGGCGGACGGGUGAGUAACACGUGGGCAACCUGCCUUAGAGUGGGGGAUAACAACGAGAAAUCGUUGCUAAUACCGCAUGAAAUUAAUCCAUCGCAUGAUGGAAUAAUGAAAGGAGAAAUCCGCUAAAAAGAUGGGCCCGCGCCUGAUUAGCUAGUUGGUGAGGUAAAAGCUCACCAAGGCGACGAUCAGUAGCCGAUCUGAGAGGAUGACCGGCCACACUGGAACUGAGACACGGUCCAGACUCCUACGGGAGGCAGCAGUGGGGAAUAUUGCACAAUGGGGAAACCCUGAUGCAGCAACGCCGCGUGGAGGAAGAAGGGUUUUCGGAUUGUAAACUCCUGUCUUUUGGGACGAUAAUGACGGUACCAAAAAGAGGAAGCCACGGCUAACUACGUGCCAGCAGCCGCCGGUAAGCAUACUCGUACG